Molecule: ribosomal RNA, 253 nt
Filed under: uncultured bacterium
Lineage: Bacteria
Description: partial 16S ribosomal RNA
Rfam family: Bacterial small subunit ribosomal RNA
Source: RNAcentral
UACGGGGGGGGCAAGCGUUGUUCGGAAUUACUGGGCGUAAAGGGCUCGUAGGCGGCCAACUAAGUCAGACGUGAAAUCCCUAGGCUCAACCUAGGAACUGCGUCUGAUACUGGAUGGCUUGAAUCCGGGAGAGGGAUGCAGAAUUCCAGGUGUAGCGGUGAAAUGCAUAGAUAUCUGGAGGAAUACCGGUGGCGAAGGCGGCAUCCUGGACCGGCAUUGACGCUGAGGAGCGAAAGCUAGGGGAGCAAACGGG